RNAcentral lists this ribosomal RNA (253 nucleotides) under uncultured bacterium. RNAcentral's name for it is "partial 16S ribosomal RNA". It matches the Rfam family "Bacterial small subunit ribosomal RNA", at positions 524 to 776 of the family's 1533-position model. The record is from RNAcentral.
UACAGAGGAUGCAAGCGUUAUCCGGAAUGAUUGGGCGUAAAGCGUCUGUAGGUGGCUUUUUAAGUCCGCCGUCAAAUCCCAGGGCUCAACUCUGGACAGGCGGUGGAAACUACCAAGCUGGAGUACGGUAGGGGCAGAGGGAAUUUCCGGUGGAGCGGUGAAAUUCGUAGAUAUUGGGAAGAACACCGGUGGCGAAGGCGGCUCACUGGCUCAUUACUGACGCUCAGGCGCGAUAGCGUGGGGAUCAAACAGG